Small nucleolar RNA from Papaver somniferum (opium poppy), 135 nucleotides. RefSeq annotates it as small nucleolar RNA snoR77. The record is from RefSeq and is a predicted model, not a curated record. Lineage: Eukaryota; Viridiplantae; Streptophyta; Magnoliopsida; Ranunculales; Papaveraceae. The transcript has a single exon.
AGGCAGCCCACUUGCGAAUUAAAAAACAAUGGUAAGGAGGGUGUUGUUCUACUCGGAAAUUAAUAUCUUUGGCUCUUCAGAUUUGCUGAGAAAUUCAUAUUUCUCUGAAGCUGGUCUAGUAAGCUUAAGUACAAU